UUAAGCAUAUCAAUAAGCGGAGGAAAAGAAACUAACAAGGAUUCCCCUAGUAACGGCGAGUGAAGAGGGAAGAGCCCAAGAUUGAAAGCUGGCGUCUUUGGCGUCCGCAUUGUAAUCUCAAGAAGUGUUUUCCGCUUCGGACCAUGCCUAAGUCCCUUGGAAAAGGGCAUCAUAGAGGGUGAUAAUCCCGUACAUGGCAUGGAGCGCCCGAAGCUUUGUGAUACACUUUCUAAGAGUCGAGUUGUUUGGGAAUGCAGCUCAAAAUGGGUGGUAAAUGCCAUCUAAGGCUAAAUAUUGGGGAGAGACCGAUAGCGAACAAGUACAGUGAUGGAAAGAUGAAAAGAACUUUGAAAAGAGAGUUAAACAGUACGUGAAAUUGCCAAAAGGGAAGGGUAGGAGGUCAGAGAUGCGGUCUGGGAUUCAGCCUUGCUUUUGCUGGGUGUUUUUCUCAGAUUGCAGGCCAACGUCGGUUUUGGGCGCUGGAGAAGGGUGGAAGGAAUGUGGCACCUCUCGGGGUGUGUUAUAGCCUUCUACUGGAUACAGUGACCGAGACCGAGGACAGCAGCGUACUCGCAAGAGCGGGCCUUCGGGCACCUUUACGCUUAGGGCGUUGGCAUAAUGGCCCUCUACCACCCGUCUUGAAACACGGACCAAGGAGUCUAACAUGUAUGCGAGUCUUUGGGUGGCAAACCCAUAGGCGCAAUGAAAGUGAAUUCAGGUGGGAUCCGCAAGGUGCACCAUCGACCGAUCCUCACGUCUUUUUAAGUCGUGGAUUUGAGUAAGAGCAUACCUGUUGGGACCCGAAAGAUGGUGAACUAUGCCUGAAUAGGGUGAAGCCAGAGGAAACUCUGGUGGAGGCUCGUAGCGGUUCUGACGUGCAAAUCGAUCGUCAAAUUUGGGUACAGGGG
This 908-nucleotide ribosomal RNA is filed under the name Ustilago hordei. RNAcentral describes it as "LSU rRNA". It matches the Rfam family "Eukaryotic large subunit ribosomal RNA", at positions 34 to 923 of the family's 3401-position model. The record is from RNAcentral. Lineage: Eukaryota; Fungi; Basidiomycota; Ustilaginomycetes; Ustilaginales; Ustilaginaceae.